This 194-nucleotide ribosomal RNA is filed under the name uncultured bacterium. RNAcentral's name for it is "partial 16S ribosomal RNA". It matches the Rfam family "Bacterial small subunit ribosomal RNA", at positions 338 to 525 of the family's 1533-position model. The record is from RNAcentral.
UCUACGGGCGGCAGCAGUGGGGAAUCUUGCGCAAUGGGCGAAAGCCUGACGCAGCGACGCCGCGUGCGGGAAGAAGGCCUUCGGGUUGUAAACCGCUUUCAGGAGGGACGAGGCCACUCAGGUUAAUAGCCGAGAGGGUGACGGUACCUCCAGAAGAAGCCCCGGCUAACUACGUGCCAGCAGCCGCGGUAAUA